UACGUAGGGGGCAAGCGUUGUCCGGAUUUAUUGGGCGUAAAGGGCUCGUAGGCGGCCAACUAAGUCGGAUGUGAAAUCCCCAAGCUUAACUUGGGAACUGCAUCCGAUACUGGAUGGCUUGAAUCCGGGAGAGGGAUGCAGAAUUCCAGGUGUAGCGGUGAAAUGCGCAGAUAUCAGGAGGAACACCUAUUGCGAAGGCAGCUCGCUGGGACGUAACUGACGCUGAGACGCGAAAAGCGUGGGGAGCAAACAGG
Molecule: ribosomal RNA, 254 nt
Filed under: uncultured bacterium
Lineage: Bacteria
Description: partial 16S ribosomal RNA
Rfam family: Bacterial small subunit ribosomal RNA
Source: RNAcentral